GACGAACGCUGGCGGCGUGCCUAAUACAUGCAAGUAGAACGCUGAAGGAGGAGCUUGCUUCUCCGGAUGAGUUGCGAACGGGUGAGUAACGCGUAGGUAACCUGCCUGGUAGCGGGGGAUAACUAUUGGAAACGAUAGCUAAUACCGCAUAACAGUAGAUGUUGCAUGACAUUUGCUUAAAAGGUGCAAUUGCAUCACUACCAGAUGGACCUGCGUUGUAUUAGCUAGUUGGUGAGGUAACGGCUCACCAAGGCGACGAUACAUAGCCGACCUGAGAGGGUGAUCGGCCACACUGGGACUGAGACACGGCCCAGACUCCUACGGGAGGCAGCAGUAGGGAAUCUUCGGAAAUGGACGGAAGUCUGACCGAGCAACGCCGCGUGAGUGAAGAAGGUUUUCGGAUCGUAAAGCUCUGUUGUAAGAGAAGAACGAGUGUGAGAGUGGAAAGUUCACACUGUGACGGUAUCUUACCAGAAAGGGACGGCUAACUACGUG
RNAcentral lists this ribosomal RNA (495 nucleotides) under uncultured bacterium. RNAcentral describes it as "partial 16S ribosomal RNA". It matches the Rfam family "Bacterial small subunit ribosomal RNA", at positions 28 to 507 of the family's 1533-position model. The record is from RNAcentral.